UACGAAGGGGGCUAGCGUUGCUCGGAAUCACUGGGCGUAAAGGGUGCGUAGGCGGGUUUUUAAGUCAGGGGUGAAAUCCUGGAGCUCAACUCCAGAACUGCCUUUGAUACUGAAGAUCUUGAGUCCGGGAGAGGUGAGUGGAACUGCGAGUGUAGAGGUGAAAUUCGUAGAUAUUCGCAAGAACACCAGUGGCGAAGGCGGCUCACUGGCCCGGUACUGACGCUGAGGCACGAAAGCGUGGGGGAGCAAACAGG
RNAcentral lists this ribosomal RNA (254 nucleotides) under uncultured bacterium. Its description in RNAcentral is "partial 16S ribosomal RNA". It matches the Rfam family "Bacterial small subunit ribosomal RNA", at positions 524 to 776 of the family's 1533-position model. The record is from RNAcentral.